Molecule: unclassified non-coding RNA, 345 nt
Filed under: soil metagenome
Description: partial contains 5.8S ribosomal RNA, internal transcribed spacer 2, and large subunit ribosomal RNA
Rfam family: 5.8S ribosomal RNA (bases 1-119)
Source: RNAcentral
GAUGAAGAACGCAGCGAAAUGCGAUACGUAAUGUGAAUUGCAAAUUCAGUGAAUCAUCGAGUCUUUGAACGCACAUUGCGCCCCCUGGUAUUCCGGGGGGCAUGCCUGUCCGAGCGUCAUUGCUGCCCUCAAGCACGGCUUGUGUGUUGGGCCCCGUCCUCCGAUCCCGGGGGACGGGCCCGAAAGGCAGCGGCGGCACCGCGUCCGGUCCUCGAGCGUAUGGGGCUUUGUCACCCGCUCUGUAGGCCCGGCCGGCGCUUGCCGAUCAACCCAAAUUUUUAUCCAGGUUGACCUCGGAUCAGGUAGGGAUACCCGCUGAACUUAAACAUAUCAAUAAGCGGAGGA